UGGGGAAUAUUGGACAAUGGGCGAAAGCCUGAUCCAGCCAUGCCGCGUGUGUGAAGAAGGUCUUCGGAUUGUAAAGCACUUUAAGUUGGGAGGAAGGGCUGCAAGUUAAUACCUUGUAGUUUUGACGUUACCAACAGAAUAAGCACCGGCUAACUUCGUGCCAGCAGCCGCGGUAAUACGAAGGGUGCAAGCGUUAAUCGGAAUUACUGGGCGUAAAGCGCGCGUAGGUGGUUUGGUAAGAUGGAUGUGGAAUCCCCGGGCUCAACCUGGGAACUGCAUCCAUAACUGCCUGACUAGAGUACGGUAGAGGGUGGUGGAAUUUCCUGUGUAGCGGUGAAAUGCGUAGAUAUAGGAAGGAACACCAGUGGCGAAGGCGACCACCUGGACUGAUACUGACACUGAGGUGCGAAAGCGUGGGGAGCAAACA
This 427-nucleotide ribosomal RNA is filed under the name uncultured bacterium. Its description in RNAcentral is "bacterial SSU rRNA". It matches the Rfam family "Bacterial small subunit ribosomal RNA", at positions 355 to 774 of the family's 1533-position model. The record is from RNAcentral.